GACGAACGCUGGCGGCGUGCUUAACACAUGCAAGUCGAACGGAAAGGCCCCUUUGGGGGUCCUCUAGUGGCGAACGGGUGAGUAACACGUGAGUAACCUUCCCUUGACUUCGGGAUAACUUCAGGAAACUGGGGCUAAUACCGGAUAGGAAUCCUUGCUGCAUGGUGGGGGUUGGAAAGCUUCGGCGGUUUUGGAUGGACUCGCGGCUUAUCAGCUUGUUGGUGGGGUAGUGGCUUACCAAGGCGUUGGCGGGUAGCCGGCCUGCGAGGGCGACCGGCCACAGUGGGACUGAGAGACGGCCCAGACUCCUACGGGAGGCAGCAGGGGGGAAGAUUGCACAAGGGGCGGAAGCCGGAUGCAGAAACGCCGCGGGCGGGAUGACGGCCUUCGGGUUGUAAACCGCUUUCAGCAGGGGCGAAGCUUGUGGUGACGGUACCUGCAGAAGAAGCACCGGCUAACUACGUG
RNAcentral lists this ribosomal RNA (465 nucleotides) under uncultured bacterium. Its description in RNAcentral is "partial 16S ribosomal RNA". It matches the Rfam family "Bacterial small subunit ribosomal RNA", at positions 28 to 507 of the family's 1533-position model. The record is from RNAcentral.